Molecule: long non-coding RNA, 296 nt
Filed under: Trifolium pratense (red clover)
Lineage: Eukaryota; Viridiplantae; Streptophyta; Magnoliopsida; Fabales; Fabaceae
Description: long non-coding RNA (TPRA_LNC013866)
Source: RNAcentral
ACGGGAAUGGAUUUUCUCCAGUUUAAAUCUCACCCAUUAAAAGUUCAUCUCACUCUUUAUUUUAUAUUUUAAAUAUUGAUCUUAAUGGUUGAAAUUCCACUGGACUGUAAUGUCACUGGAGAGGAUCCCAGCCCCUUCCAAAUAAGCUCUUAUUUCUUCUUGUUCUUUGUACCUUGCUUCAGUUGACCAGUAAGGGUAAUCCAACACGAGUAACAUUCCAUUUUGCAUUUGCAAAAUUGUAUUUUGGGACUAAGGUCAUCAAAGAACAAUAGAUAACACCCAAGCCUUAAAUUAUG